Molecule: small RNA, 19 nt
Filed under: Caenorhabditis elegans
Lineage: Eukaryota; Metazoa; Nematoda; Chromadorea; Rhabditida; Rhabditidae
Description: Unclassified non-coding RNA K08F11.7
Source: RNAcentral
GAAAUCUCAUUCAUUCCUG